UCACAAAACACACCUUGAUUC
RNAcentral lists this non-coding RNA (21 nucleotides) under Caenorhabditis elegans. The record is from RNAcentral. Lineage: Eukaryota; Metazoa; Nematoda; Chromadorea; Rhabditida; Rhabditidae.